AUUUCAACCAGAUAAUCAUAAGUUCCUUCAUGCCACACUUAGAGCUCCUACAGGCAAGGAGCAGAAGAAGAACAUACACCAUAUUCAAGAUUUAAAUAGCUAAAGCAAAUUUUCCAACCCCGGUAACAGAUUUUAGCCAAUCAGUAGCUCCUGUUCAACACAUGCCAACCACUGGAAAGAGAUGAAAUUUCAAAUCCACACAGAAACCUUGUGCAGUUAAGAUUCAAAGUGGAAACAUUUAAUAACUCAAGAUAAACUGCAGGCAAGUCGUGCACAGAUAACCGACAGUGUAGGCAUAUGCUGGUCAAAGACUAACAAAACAGUAUCUAGAGCGAGCCCUAUACAGCAUGCCCAAGAUAACACGCAUGUAAUAAGGAAGAAAAAGAAAGAAAAAACAAAGGAUUAAUUUAUUGUUAAGUAAGGUGAAUUAUGUUCCAAAGAUGAAAGGCAGAAAGAAGGUGCUAACCAAGUACAGAUACAGUAAAACUGUUGUCCUAAACUAGAAACAAAAGCAGCUAUUCUGCUGAAACUUUGUUCAUGGGUAACUAUAAGCAAAUCAUUUGAUAUCAGAAUACUACCAGCAUCAAGAAAAUAACACUUUCAUAUGCCAGUAGAGACGGCAAGAUUUGGGGUUGCAAUUGACAAAGAUGAAGGUGGAGAAAGGAUAGCAACUGACAGAUGCGUAACCUCUGUGCAUGGUAAUGGCAUGUGGUGCUUCCAAGGGGGAGGGAGGCCUUCCAAAUGGAAGCGGAAUCUCGGUCAAAUUUUACGUCAUAAUCUCAGCAGAUAUGGCUGGGAUGGGGAUGGAGCACGUGGCAGUAAUGAGGAAGCUGCAUGGAAAUCAUAGAUCAAGGAUGGGGUCUCAAAAAGUUCAUACUGGUUGGAGCUCAAAAGGGAUACGGCUCAAUGCAGUUAAGAUUUAAGAGGCAGAGAAAAUGCACAUCGGUUGAAAGUUGAGACUAAAAGAUGCGAGCAGCAGAUGAAUCUGCGACGGAUUAAGAAUCAAUCAGUAAUUAAUCAGGAUCCAAGAAUGGCAUCCAAUUAGAGAAGGCAAACAAUGUUAAUCAGACAUAGAUAUCUCGCCCACGUCAGCUAGGCUUUUAGCUAGGGAUCAUCAUGAGCUUUCAUAGUAAGUGGUGUCACAAGACGUCUUUCCACCAAGUGACUCGUCAUUCUUAAAUUCAUUAAGGUGAU
Rhododendron vialii is the source of this 1194-nucleotide long non-coding RNA. RefSeq lists it as uncharacterized. The record is from RefSeq and is a predicted model, not a curated record. The transcript is spliced from 3 exons. NCBI's taxonomy places the organism in Eukaryota, Viridiplantae, Streptophyta, Magnoliopsida, Ericales, Ericaceae.